AGGGCCUCGGAGAAACAGGACAGAGAGAUGGAGACAGCUACAGAAAGGCAGUUGCUGUGACAAAACUCUGACAAUGGUAACUUAAGAGGAAAUGGUUUGUUUUAGCUCAUGGAUCAUCAGGAAGCAGAAAGCAAUGCGCGAACGCUGCUCGGUUCCUUCUCCUCAUCUGUGCAGUUCAGGGUCCCAGGUAAUGACUAUGAUUGCUUCUGAUGCUGGAUGCUGCUGGACUGUCUGGCCGUCAUUAUACUGGUACCAACACUGAAAUCACUAAAAGAUGAAUGAAGUGCCAAGCAAUCCUGAAGGGACCACCACCUGGCUGUUUCUGUUACUGACCCAGAAACCCAAGGGAAGCAGAUUCUUGAGAAAAGAAUAUGUAAGCAUUGAGGUCCAAAGGCCUCACCUUGGUCAAUGUGUUGUUCACUUCAAAUUUUGUUUCUUUCAUUUGAAUUUUGUAACUUGCCUCAUGUAGAUAUUAAACAUAAAGAUCUAUCUCUAAAUUUA
Long non-coding RNA from Mesocricetus auratus (golden hamster), 501 nucleotides. RefSeq lists it as uncharacterized. The transcript has 3 exons. Lineage: Eukaryota; Metazoa; Chordata; Mammalia; Rodentia; Cricetidae. The record is from RefSeq and is a predicted model, not a curated record.